UACACAGCGAGCACCAAGGAGACCAGGGCAGCAACUAAGGGAAAACAACUGGACAGGAUGACUAAAGUUAUGCAAAGGAGACUGCCCAUAGCUGUUGAGGAAGGCAAAAAAAGGCCACAUGAACCUGUUCAAGCUGCCAAGUUUGCAUCAGAGGCUGGCAUCAUUAUUCGGGAAACCAUGCCUAUCCUAACUCAUUGGAAAGAUUACAAGGACGACCAGAAAUACUACAACAACUUUAUGUCACCGCUAAAUUUAAGUGCAUUACUGAUUCUAUGGUUCACUUGUAUACUGCUUAACCUAAAUUGACUAACUAUGGAAUUGUCAUAUGCAUAGGGGCGCUUGUCCGUUAACACUGAGGACAAGGCAACAAAGGAAGCUUGCACCGAUAUGCUACGCUCUGCGGUAAAAAACCAGCGUUAUCGGCUCAAGCAGAAAUACUUCAAUGGUGUACCUACAAAUGAGAUUAGGACAACUUCUCCUUAUCUUACAUGACUGAUGAACAGUGGAGGGCAUUAGUUGCAAAGUGGUCUGAUCCAAAGAACAUGGAAAUAAGUGAAAAGAACAAGCAGAACCACAGUAAAGUCAAGUUUCAUCAGGCUACGGGUUCUCGCUGCUAUGUGGCACACUUACAUGCAUAUAAGCAGAAGAGAAACAGAGAAGAACCCAGCUUAGAUCAGACUGAAUAACUAGAUGCGGUGGACGCCUUCAAGACCUGCCAUACCAGCUCCAAACGUGGCCUGAGUGAACCCGCAAGAGAAGCACUUGCUUUGAGGGCUGAACCUGUUGCUGAAGGUGAGAUGCCAGCAUCCAGUGUGCAGCUUGUGUCCAAGGUGUUGUCCCAGAGCAGCUCACACCAAUUCCUGAAGAGUGUUGGCAUCAAAACACCGGCAUCCUCCAAGUCAUCAUCAUCAAAUCAAAGUGAGCUUCGGGAACAACUUGCAGCUGAAGCGACGGCUGCUGUUCAAGGUGAACUCAACCAGCUCAAGAAGAAAUAUGAAGAAGCUGAGGAACAGCAGGCGAGGACACAAAGGGAGUUGGAGGAGUACAAGAAGAUAACAGAGAAGAACAGCAAGGAGAUGGAGGAGACCAAUGUGCUCAUCAAGAAGCUCUUGUCCUUGCAUGGUAACACUUCUUCUUCGACAUGAGGGCCGCUGGUCAGAGCUACUGUGUUUGGCCUGUUCUUUGACAAGGGUACCCAAAAACUCAAGUUGCUCGUGGGUGGCAACUUUUUAUUAUAUGAUUUUGUUUGUGCAAACACAACUGAAAUGUUAAGUCAAGUGGUGGUGCUGUGAACUGAAAUGUUAAGUCAAGUGGUGAUGUUGUGAAUUGAA
Zea mays is the source of this 1331-nucleotide long non-coding RNA. RefSeq lists it as uncharacterized. The transcript has 4 exons. The record is from RefSeq and is a predicted model, not a curated record. NCBI's taxonomy places the organism in Eukaryota, Viridiplantae, Streptophyta, Magnoliopsida, Poales, Poaceae.